Molecule: transfer RNA, 61 nt
Filed under: Ictidomys tridecemlineatus (thirteen-lined ground squirrel)
Lineage: Eukaryota; Metazoa; Chordata; Mammalia; Rodentia; Sciuridae
Description: Spermophilus tridecemlineatus (thirteen-lined ground squirrel) tRNA
Rfam family: tRNA
About the family: Transfer RNA (tRNA) molecules are approximately 80 nucleotides in length.
Source: Rfam by way of RNAcentral
UGUAACUCAGUGGUAGAGGGCUUGCCUAGCAUGCAUGAGGCACUGAGUUUGAUCCUCAGCA